Molecule: unclassified non-coding RNA, 406 nt
Filed under: soil metagenome
Description: partial contains 5.8S ribosomal RNA, internal transcribed spacer 2, and large subunit ribosomal RNA
Rfam family: 5.8S ribosomal RNA (bases 1-121)
Source: RNAcentral
GAUGAAGAACGUAGCGAAAUGCGAUAAGUAAUGUGAAUUGCAGAAUUCAGUGAAUCAUCGAAUCUUUGAACGCACCUUGCGCCCUUUGGCCAUUCCGAAGGGCAUGCCUGUUUGAGUAUCAUGAACACCUCAACUCUUCAUGGUUUUCCGUGAUGAGCUUGGACUUUGGGGGUCUUGCUGGCCUAUGGUCAGCUCCUCUAAAAUAAAUCAGCUUGCCAGUGUUUGGUGGGUAUCACAGGUGUGAUAGCUAUCUACGCUUGUGGUUUUCCACCAGGUAACCUUCAGCAGUGGAGGUUCGCUGGAGCUCACAGAUGUGUCUCUCCUCAGUGAGGACAGCUCUUUGAAUGUUUGAUCUCAAAUCAGGUAGGACUACCCGCUGAACUUAAGCAUAUCAAUAAGCGGAGGA